RNAcentral lists this ribosomal RNA (498 nucleotides) under uncultured Sphingobacteriales bacterium. RNAcentral describes it as "bacterial SSU rRNA". It matches the Rfam family "Bacterial small subunit ribosomal RNA", at positions 883 to 1382 of the family's 1533-position model. Lineage: Bacteria; Pseudomonadati; Bacteroidota; Sphingobacteriia; Sphingobacteriales. The record is from RNAcentral.
CCGAGCCCGCUCAGAAACUCAAAUGAAUUGACGGGGGCCCGCACAAGCGGUGGAGCAUGUGGUUUAAUUCGAUGAUACGCGAGGAACCUUACCUGGGCUCGAACGUAAGAUGACUGUAGGUGAAAGCUUACAUCUCUUCGGAGCAUUUUACGAGGUGCUGCAUGGUUGUCGUCAGCUCGUGCCGUGAGGUGUCGGGUUAAGUCCCAUAACGAGCGCAACCCUACCUUUAGUUGCCAUCAGGUAAUGCUGGGGACUCUAAAGGAACUGCCUACGCAAGUAGUGAGGAAGGCGGGGAUGACGUCAAAUCAGCACGGCCCUUACGUCCAGGGCUACACACGUGCUACAAUGGCCGAUACAGAGGGCAGCUACCUGGUGACAGGAUGCAAAUCUCCAAAGUCGGUCUCAGUUCGGAUCGGAGUCUGCAACCCGACUCCGUGAAGUUGGAUUCGCUAGUAAUCGCGCAUCAGCCAUGGCGCGGUGAAUACGUUCCCGGGCCUU